Long non-coding RNA from Cephus cinctus (wheat stem sawfly), 2977 nucleotides. RefSeq lists it as uncharacterized. The transcript has 3 exons. The record is from RefSeq and is a predicted model, not a curated record. Lineage: Eukaryota; Metazoa; Arthropoda; Insecta; Hymenoptera; Cephidae.
CUCGUGCACCUGCGGGUCAUGUCAAAGUGCCGGUAUCAUCGUAUCGACAUCAGCGUCGCGCGCAUCGGUCCUAUCUCUCCUGUUCUCAUUUAUUUAUCGUACGGAAAUUUCGCUGAUUAGUAUCGUGCGACCAGCACUAAUGCGUUGUUUCGUAAUUUAUUGAUUUUAACGCUCGCGUCGCGCCAUUGAACAUGCCGUGAAUGCGUGCGUGGAAACUCGCGAGUGCAGCGGGAUUGUCAACAGAUGUGGAAUGGAAAAAGAUAAAGUGGAGGAAAAGAAAAAAGGUGUCGAAAAAGUGUUGGGUACAGUUGCUUGUGUGAAUACAAAAAAAAAACUAUCGGACAAGCCCAUCAUAUUAUUCUAUUGGGAUAGUGAGGAACUUCAAGUAAUCGGGCAGAACUUGUCGGCUCUUAGCAGUAGAUAUCGCAAAAGAUGGGCUUUAAGGCAGAGAUGGAAAUGGACAAAGUUUUCACGGUGUGCUUGAGCCAACACUAAAGAACCCCAGGCAGCGUCACUCUGGCUAUAUAGAGAAGCAGCAUACAGAAGUACCAGGAGCGUCGAGUCCUUCGACUCUCAGGUUGUCUCGGCUCCGGGGCAAGUAGUCGACUUGGUGCAAUUCGGGUGGCGCUUCGCAUAAACUCGCCGCGCGAUACACUUGGCGCUCGUCCUGAAUCGCGCGACUCGCUUUCGGGCCGGUGCAAGAUAAAGUUAACUUCAUUCCGUAGGUGUUGGGUUAGGCUAGUCAUCCCCUCCCUGCGACUCUCAUGAGCUCCCACAUACCAGCAGAGCUAGCUAGAGCGGUAAAGUGCCGCCCGGUAAUGGGGUGGGUUUAGCUAGUGUGCCUAGGGUGAGGAGUUGGGGCUCGGGGUGGAAGGAGUUGGAUCACGGGGGAUGAAGUGACGUAGUAAGGGAGCGAGACGGAGAGAACGAGGGGUGCCACCACCUAGCCGAGAGAUUGGAUCCCGGAAAUGAGACAAACUGAUGCUAGUUCGACCUGUUAAGAGGGGUACCCAUGGUCCAGCUGACUUAUGAGGAUCCUGUCGCUGGUCAGCUACUUCCGGUACGAUUACCGUUAUAUAACGCAAUACGCGAAACCUCCAUUAGAGCAACACUGGUGUUAAUAUGGCGUCUGAGUGGCCGAAGUGUCCUUUAUCUUCAUAAGAGUGAAGUUGCGCGGUCAGGACGCUGAAUGGAGUUCGUCCCAGGCUACCUGGGUGCUUCCGAAUUUUUACGGAGGUCAAAGGUCAUACCGGGGACCCCGGAUAGUUGACAGUGGAGGUACGCGGUCAUCUCUAGCCGAGAGGGAUGAUGGUGAGAAACUGGUCUCGGCAGGGGAGUAGCUGCCGUCUCAUGAAAACACGAUGGAUGCGCGGCUGUCGUCUUUUCCAUCCCGCAGCGACCAUCCGUCAACCCUUUUGAAAGUUGACGCGAAGCCAGACACACGUGGCCCUGGACAAGAUCAGCGUAGUAACACAAGGACGAGGAUACGUUGCAUUCGUAGUCGCGCUCCCACGAGGUGUCCGUGAACGAGCACGCACGCUUCCCUCAUUGUGUGGCGCGCAUUAUGCAGUGGGCUGUAGCGCGACAACAGCGCAACCUGGUAGUCAGGUGAUAAAUGAUUCGAUCACCGGUUGAUAGAUGCACGCUACCGGUGUUGCAAGCUGGUGCUUGCACCUCCUGGUGCAUUGUCGUCGAGCGGAUACUACCCUAAGAAAAAGCUUUGACCGUAAGUGCAAAGAAAUUGCCAAACAAAGCUAUACGUCAUAUGAAAAAAAAAACUUCCCAAAAAAAGAAAGGGAUGUUUCAAGCUAAAAAAAGACAGCCUGCAGAAUACGCAAAGUGCACGUGUGCAUAAGGGCGGCGGGGAGGGGUUACGAAUUGAAUAAGACGCGGUUUGUAUAAAAGGUGCCGGAGGCUGUGCCAAGUAUCUAGGUGUCGCUUGAGGGUUGAAGGUGAUGUUUGGGAAGGUGAAGGUUGUCGAGGGCUGGAGUGGGGCAGCGUUUAAUAUAUUCGAGGUCCGGGCAUCUAUCCAUCACUGAACGUAGCGGUGGCUCGCAUCAUCCCCCGGGGCGGAUAAAUACUUAUUUAACGCGCUUAUGCAUGCAGCCGCGGUAGCGAUACGACCCGUAAAUCUGUCCGAGGAAGCACAAUGCUGCUAAUUAUAUACAUUCCCGUGACGCGGCCGCUAGCGAACGAGCGACCUCUGGUACACCCCAGCCCCAACACUGGCCUGCUGGAACCCCCGGCUCAAAAGACUCGCAGAUUUAUUGCCAAAGAGGACGGAAAAUGUCGACCUAAGCUCAUAUGUACGGGCUUGGCAGUUUGUAUGCCCGCGCACUCUCCGUCGAGAGGAUGAGGAGAGAGCAAGAGAGAGAGAGAGAGAAUGAAGAGUGCCAGAGCUAUCGGUGGGGUGGGUAUAGAGGCAGAGAGUGACUGAGAGGGUCAGAGUGAAGUCAUGAGACUUGGUUAGAAGGAGAGAGAGACAAGAAGAGGGUGAGAGUGAGGACGACGCAGAGACGGUGACGGCGACGCCGACGCCUAGCGGUCAGGGGUCUCGGGGUCGGAGGAGGUUGGUUCCUAGGCCGGGGGAUUGAAAGAGGGACGCCAAAGGAGGCAGGGAGUAUAGCGAGUGCGAUAGGGAGCUCGGAAGGGUGGGACGCAGGAAAGAGAACGAAGCUAUAAAUUCCAUCCCUCUCCGUCUCCGCUCGUCGUGCUAUAUCGCUGAUUUAUAAAUAUGACUGUAGCGAAGUAUAAUAAUACGUACGUACCCACCGAGCCGAGUCAGGGCGCCCUCUUUCCCAGCCCCCCUUGCCCACCAUAACCUCCUUCACGUCCUCGGCCUCCUGGUGCUCCUCUCUCUCUCUCUCUCUCUCUCUCUCUGGGUCCAGCUCUCCUCACUCAAACUGCUUCGCUCCUUCAUCUCGACUUCCUAUACUCUCAUCUUUCUCUACGUCGGAUACACAGGCAUCUACCUAAC